AUUAGUUUACUAUUGGAGCGGUUAGUGGCGGACUGGUGAGUAACACGUAAGCAACCUGCCUUUCAGAGGGGGAUAACGGCUGGAAACGGUCGCUAAUACCGCAUGACGUGUUCGGAUGGCAUCAUCUGAACAUCAAAGAUUUAUCGCUGAAAGAUGGGCUCGCGUCUGAUUAGAUAGUUGGUGGGGUAACGGCCUACCAAGUCUGCGAUCAGUAGCCGGACUGAGAGGUUGAACGGCCACAUUGGGACUGAGAUACGGCCCAAACUCC
This 268-nucleotide ribosomal RNA is filed under the name uncultured Oscillospiraceae bacterium. RNAcentral's name for it is "partial 16S ribosomal RNA". It matches the Rfam family "Bacterial small subunit ribosomal RNA", at positions 74 to 339 of the family's 1533-position model. The record is from RNAcentral. Lineage: Bacteria; Bacillati; Bacillota; Clostridia; Eubacteriales; Oscillospiraceae.